This 409-nucleotide transfer-messenger RNA is filed under the name Candidatus Omnitrophota bacterium. It matches the Rfam family "transfer-messenger RNA". Rfam says of the family: Bacterial tmRNA, also known as 10Sa RNA or SsrA, is named for its dual tRNA and mRNA-like properties. Its role is to liberate the mRNA from a stalled ribosome. The record is from RNAcentral. Lineage: Bacteria; Pseudomonadati; Candidatus Omnitrophota.
GGGGGUGAAAGGGUUCGACUUAGGUAAGUCGGGUAAGAGUAGCAUGCCGCGGACGCAGGGUGGGCCGCGUUAACAAUCCUUGCACAAUAUAAACGCAAACACACCAGUGUUGAACCGCGUAUUUUCGUUUCAGCCAGCAAUGGCUCCAACGGGGGUUGCGGGCGUACCAGCCGUCAGCUUACACUAAGCUGAUGCCUCUAUUCGCCUUAGUCCACGGGGUGAAAUAGAGCACUAGUGGACUGGCGGGGUUCAGUUUGCCUUUGGGGGCUCCGCAAGAUCUAAAAGGCUGCGGCUUGCUUUAUCCUGUUUAUCGGAGCGGGCAAGAGUAAGCGUAAAGGAUAAACUAAGCAUGUAGCGACUUUUAUCUGAUUGCUUAGGGACCCCGGUUCGAUUCCGGGCACCUCCACCA